This 261-nucleotide ribosomal RNA is filed under the name unidentified marine bacterioplankton. Its description in RNAcentral is "partial 16S ribosomal RNA". It matches the Rfam family "Bacterial small subunit ribosomal RNA", at positions 77 to 339 of the family's 1533-position model. The record is from RNAcentral. RNAcentral also lists the same sequence under 1 other name.
UCUUCGGAGAUACACGAGUGGCGAACGGGUGCGUAACGCGUAUGCAACCUACCUUUAACAGAGAGAUAGCCCUGAGAAAUUGGGAUUAAUAUCACAUAAUAUCAUAAUGCAGCAUUGUAUAAUGAUUAAAGCUCCGGCGGUUAAAGAUGGGCAUGCGUGACAUUAGUUAGUUGGUGAGGUAACGGCUCACCAAGACUUCGAUGUCUAGGGGUUCUGAGAGGAUUAUCCCCCACACUGGUACUGAGACACGGACCAGACUCC